CCUCAGCUGCCUCUAAAGUGACUGGUCCUUCUGAGGAAGCUAAGGCCGUGUUGAGUUGUUCAUGCGGAUGUGAUUUGAAAACAGAGUUCCUUCUGGGCAGAGCUUCAUGGGAAGCUAAACUAUAAUUAGAAGAUUGUUGCUACCAUAGAAUCAAGGCAAGAAAAUGGCAACCCACUCCGGUAUUCUUGCUUGAAGAAUUCCGUGGAAGAGAAGCCCGGAGGGCUACAGUCCAUGGGGUCGCAGAGUCGACACAGCUGAGUGGCUAACGCACGCAUGCUUUCUCUGCUGAUCAAAAC
Budorcas taxicolor (takin) is the source of this 296-nucleotide long non-coding RNA. RefSeq lists it as uncharacterized. The record is from RefSeq and is a predicted model, not a curated record. The transcript is spliced from 3 exons. Lineage: Eukaryota; Metazoa; Chordata; Mammalia; Artiodactyla; Bovidae.